Biomphalaria glabrata is the source of this 339-nucleotide long non-coding RNA. RefSeq lists it as uncharacterized. NCBI's taxonomy places the organism in Eukaryota, Metazoa, Mollusca, Gastropoda, Planorbidae. The record is from RefSeq and is a predicted model, not a curated record. The transcript has 3 exons.
GACAACAAGAACAAAAAGUAUUCCUAGACCUGUGCCAAAGCCAAGGCCAAAACUUUCAAUAUUGAACUUGGAACCUACUGUGAAGAACAUAAGAAAUACAUUUAAAGGUUGUUAGUAACUACUUUUUGAAAAGCCCGAAAGCAGGCACAGAAGACGAAAAGGAAACUUAAAGAGACCUCCGGCGGACAAAGGCUUUGUCCACAUUACGUUUGGCAAAAUUUGCAGUUUGCAGUGAUGGAUAUUGAUUUGAUAGUCAAACUUCUGAUGUCAAUAACUUCAUACAUCAACAAAGUUCUUGAAUCGGUGUAGUGAAAAACCAAUUCUUUUUUCUCACCAAAA